Molecule: ribosomal RNA, 246 nt
Filed under: Rocalia longipennis
Lineage: Eukaryota; Metazoa; Arthropoda; Insecta; Hymenoptera; Tenthredinidae
Description: partial 16S ribosomal RNA
Source: RNAcentral
CUGUCUCUUUUUAAAUAUUAUUUUAAUUUAAUUUUUAAGUUAAAAAGCUUAAAUUUUUUUAAAGGACGAGAAGACCCUAUAGAGUUUUAUAAUUAUAAAUUUAUUAAAUUUAAAGUUAUUUUAAUAAAAAUAUAAUUAUUUUAUUGGGGCGAUAGAAAAAUUAAAUAAACUUUUUUAUUAAAUAAACAUUAAUUUAUGAGUAUAUGAUCUUAAUUUUUAGAUUAUUAGAAUAAAUUACCUUAGGGA